UGGGGAAUUUUGGACAAUGGGCGCAAGCCUGAUCCAGCCAUGCCGCGUGCAGGAUGAAGGCCUUCGGGUUGUAAACUGCUUUUGUACGGAACGAAAAGACUCUGGUUAAUACCUGGGGUCCAUGACGGUACCGUAAGAAUAAGCACCGGCUAACUACGUGCCAGCAGCCGCGGUAAGACAGAGGAUGCAAGCGUUAUCCGGAAUGAUUGGGCGUAAAGCGUCUGUAGGUGGCUUUUCAAGUCCGCCGUCAAAUCCCAGGGCUCAACCCUGGACAGGCGGUGGAAACUACCAAGCUGGAGUACGGUAGGGGCAGUGGAAUUCCUGGUGUAGUGGUGAAAUACGUAGAUAUCAGGAGGAACACCGGUGGCGAAGGCGGCUGCCUGGCCAAAUACUGACGCUGAGAUACGAAAGCGUGGGUAGCAAACAGGAUUAGAUACCCGUGUAGUCCCUGAGCGGGCUGGCAAGGCGCAU
RNAcentral lists this ribosomal RNA (471 nucleotides) under uncultured bacterium. RNAcentral describes it as "bacterial SSU rRNA". It matches the Rfam family "Bacterial small subunit ribosomal RNA", at positions 355 to 825 of the family's 1533-position model. The record is from RNAcentral.